This 436-nucleotide ribosomal RNA is filed under the name uncultured eukaryote. RNAcentral's name for it is "SSU rRNA". It matches the Rfam family "Eukaryotic small subunit ribosomal RNA", at positions 666 to 1114 of the family's 1831-position model. The record is from RNAcentral.
UUCCAGCCUUAGGUCGGAGAUACUGACAGUCAUCCGCUUGCAAACAUAUGUUCGAUCUUCACCGGUUGGCUAUGUGAGUAAGCACUUUACCUUGAGAAAACAGAGUGUUCCAGGCAGGUUUGUCCGGGAUGCAUUAGCAUGGAAUAAUAGAACAUGACUGAAGUCGAUUUAUUGGUUUAAGGCUUUAGUAAUGAUUAAUAGGAACAGUCGGGGGCAUUCGUACUCAGCAGUCAGAGGUGAAAUUCUAAGAUUUGCUGAAGACGAACUAAUGCGAAAGCAUUUUGCCAAGGAUGUUUUCAUUAAUCAAGAACGAAAGUUAGGGGAUCAAAGACGAUCAGAUACCGUCCUAGUCUUAACUAUAAACUAUGCCGACUCGGAUUCAGAUGAAUCAAAAUGUUCAUUUGGGACCGUAGGAGAAAUCAAAGUCUUUGGGUUC